This 439-nucleotide ribosomal RNA is filed under the name uncultured bacterium. RNAcentral's name for it is "partial 16S ribosomal RNA". It matches the Rfam family "Bacterial small subunit ribosomal RNA", at positions 338 to 795 of the family's 1533-position model. The record is from RNAcentral.
CCUACGGGGGGCAGCAGUGGGGGAUAUUGCACAAUGGGGGAAACCCUGAUGCAGCGAUGCCGCGUGAAUGAAGACGGCCUUCGGGUUGUAAAGUUCUGUCGCAGGGGACGAAAAUGACGGUACCCUGCAAGAAAGCUCCGGCUAACUACGAGCCAGCAGCCGCGGUAAGCCGUAGGGAGCAAGCGUUGUCCGGAAUUACUGGGUGUAAAGGGAGCGUAGGCGGGGGGUAUAGUUGAAUGUGAAGUCUAUGGGCUCAACCCAUAGCUGCGUUCAAAACUGUUCUUCUUGAGUGAAGUAGGGGCAGGCGGAAUGCCUGGUGUAGCGGUGAAAUGCGUAGAUAUUAGGAGGAACACCAGUGGCGAAGGCGGCCUGCUGGACUUUUACUGACGCUGAGGCUCGAAAGCGUGGGUAGCAAACAGGAUUAGAUACCCCGGUAGUC